Lycium barbarum (goji berry) is the source of this 3250-nucleotide long non-coding RNA. RefSeq lists it as uncharacterized. The transcript has 2 exons. NCBI's taxonomy places the organism in Eukaryota, Viridiplantae, Streptophyta, Magnoliopsida, Solanales, Solanaceae. The record is from RefSeq and is a predicted model, not a curated record.
AAACCCCACCUAAAACUAAGUCUUCAACUUUCUUUCCAUUCUAACUAAGCAACCAAACAACCCCUUUCUUCUAAAUCAACAACCCUAACCAAACGUGUCUCACCUCUCUCUCGUCCACAUCGUCGCCACCCCACCCCCCAUCACGUCACCUCACCACCACCACGCCCAUAUCCCACAAAAUCCGCUACCUACACCCCUCUUCUCCGUUCUCACACUCCAUCUCUGAAGCUUGCAGGCUCCAUGUGCGAUUUCAGCGGAUUUCAUGUUUUUUUUUGGGUUAUCGAAAUCUUCUUUCAAGUUCUCGGCUGAGCAAGGACUGUUUGGAGCGGAUUCGGAGACUCGACGACGACAAUAGCUUCAGUUCGCUGUCACAAAGAAGGUAAUCACAUUCGUCCUACCUUCGUCUUUAAUUUCUUAGAAGUAAAAUGUAGUCGUUGAUUGGUUUUGUCGUUUGCGUCGUCUCGACCUAUUUAAAUCUGUUUGUUGCUCUGUAUACUCUGAAUGUGCGACGAAAUGGUUAAUACAAGCUAUUAUAUAAACUUAGGAAGAAUGAUAAGUUAGCUUGAAGAACAUGUGAACAGUGACGUCGUCUUGCUUUAAAUUAGUUGCCUUUAAUCUUGAAGGGCUGUUUUGGUGUGCUUAUACAGCGUAGCUAAGGUUUUUCUGGUGACUUGAAUAAGAAUAAGAAUGCAUUUUUUUGGUCUUGUUCAUAUUAUGUAUUGGUCUAGCCUACAUUGUGAAUCUUCGCUUGUUAACAUUUAGUCCCCAUUUCCUCGCUGGUUCGAAAUGCAAGAUGGAACUGUUUUGAGUUAAAUUCUAUUUUGAAAACCUUUUUUUAUGGCAUUCUUUAGUGUAGUUUCUGGUUUGGUAAACUUGAGAGUUAGGUUGAGUCUGGAUGAGUAGAUGCUACAUUAGGCUUCAACAUUGUUAAAAUACCUCUUUAAGGUGUCUGUAUGCCCUGAAAAAUCCUGAUAUACAUAUGUAUGGUUUUAAACUUGAGUGGUAAUGUCUUGUAUUUGGCUCUGCAUCACUGUUUGGGGAGGCUUUUUGUCCUGGAGAAGGACUCUUCCGAGCAUUUAAAUGAAAAAGUAUUAUGCCUCUGCGUGUUUGAAACCUGGCUGCUAAAGUACCUCUUAUUCUCAGUCCUAGUUUUUUUUUUCUUUUUAUCAGAAGAGGGGUGUUGUUUUAUUUUAUUAUUUUUGGGGACUAUACUUAAGUAAACAGGGAGGGAUCAUUGUUGACAUACCACCUGUUAUUUUGGAUUCAUAUUUCUAGCUUGAAAAACCAAGAUUUGAUGCUUUCUACUAAAAAAUAGCCCUGUUUCGGUUGAGUGUCCUCUCUUUGAAUUGGUAUUUGGUUUGAAAAAGGCAAUUCUUGUUUGUCUUGAUUUUCAAUACUAUUAAUAGAUAGUAACUAAGGGAAAGGAGAUAGUUCAUCACUACGUAAAGAUGAGGUAAAAAUCCAAGCCCAACUAUUAUCUUUGAGGUGCGAUCAGUUUCUUUUUGCCUUCUCAAGCAUAAGUAUUAUUGAACUUUGGAAUGUGCCAUUCUAUUUAAUACCUCUUCUUUCCACCUGAUCGGGUUCCUUUCCCUGCUGACAGUUGGCAGAGAAAGAUUUAUGGUCACAAUUUUGACCAUAGUUUAUUAGCAUGUCGCUUAAGGUUAGGUUGGCAUUAAUGCAACAUGAAAGCUGAUACGUCGGGCUGGUUGGGCGAAUGGAGAUGUUCUUAUUUUUAUGAAGAGGGAAAAAUUACCUCGUUCUGAUAUGCAAGUUUAGUCGAUGUAGUUAAAUUUUGCACGACUAUUUUCGUAUUAGGGGAAAUAUUGAGAUACUAUUCUGUCGUGUAGGAGGAUACAUCCAGGGUCCUUGUAGAUUCACACUAAAAAAAUCCCACUCAUUAUGUCAUAUGAGGGAGAGAGCCAAGAAGCAUAGCAUAGCGUUAAUUGUUAAAGAUUUAUCUUAGAGGUUUUACUUUUAAUAAGUGGAAUGUAUAUAUUUUGUAAGAGGUCUCUCUCCCGUGACAAUUUGUACAGACGUAUGCUUCUCUUUUAAGUGCACACUGUUAGCUUGUGUCUAUGUCCUGUAAGUGCAAAGUGUUAGGUGUGUCUAUGUCCUUUAAGUUCCAAACUGUUAGGUGUAUCCAAAACUUGAUAGCUUCUUUGCCAAAUGUGUUGGUUCAUAAACCAUUAAGCUUCCCAGUUGACACGAACGAAUAGUUUCCUAUAUAUCACUUCACAUGCCAUUUCUUGGGAAAAUUGGAGUCAGUUGCUGCUGCAUUUCAUGCCAUUUACUGCUGCAUCUGGCCUGUUAUCGCUUCAUUAUUGAUGCCGCAUUUGGCCAUAAAUAGUUGCCUAUUUGCAAGGCCACUGCCACUGAAUGUUUCUGCUGUAUUCUUUUUUUUUUUUUUUACCAUUAUGAUCGCCAUAUAGAGCUUUCGGAAGGGCUACAACUUGGCUGUUGUAUUAGCUGAUUAUUGUUGUGAUUUCGAGCCAAGUUUUGGGCAGCUUGGAGGCUCAUUAGCUGCUGCUGUUUGGGCUGGCUGAUCUCUUUAUUUCGAGAUAAUUGCUGGUGCAUUUUUUGGUCAGUUUUGAGGCCAUAAUUGCUACAUUUUGCUCGGAGUUUUUUGAGGCCACCGCUGGUGCAUUCUGCUCAGUUUAGAGGCCAUUGCUACUGCUUUGUUUAGCCCACGGCUGCUGCAUCUUUGGCUGCGGCGUUUGUUGUCUUAAAACUGUUUUAGAGCGGCUUGCUAGUACUUUUGGUAUCUUGCUGAAACAAUUUGAACAAACUGUUUUAGAGCAGCUUGCUAGUACUGUUGUCUUGAUUCUUUUAUCUAGCUUUCAUUAAUUAAAGUUAUAUAGACUUCUUUUCCUUGUUGAGAAUUGUUUCUAAUCCUUAUAUCUAUUUCUUUUUCUUUUCUUUUUCAUGAGGAACCUUGGGAGCAUUUGGAGUUAUGGCAACUCCGGAUUCUAUCCAUAUCAGAGAACAGCCGGUUGCAAGAUUUAAUUGCUCGUGUUUAGCGUCCUCGUCUUCCUUCCUCUCUUUAAAUUCCGUGCCUUUCGCGUUAUCAUGUAUAUACAUGUUUAUAUUCUUGACUAACAUUUUUAUGGAUUGUAUUUGUAGCACAUUUGUUUCUCGCUUGUGUAGGAACUAGUUAAGUAUGAUGGUAAGUUUAGUCACUACUUUUCCUCUCCCCUUGGAUAAUUAUUCUUGGCUUAGGCGUGUUAGAAAUGAUAAUCGCCCAUGUUUUUCA